Anguilla anguilla (European eel) is the source of this 939-nucleotide long non-coding RNA. RefSeq lists it as uncharacterized. The record is from RefSeq and is a predicted model, not a curated record. NCBI's taxonomy places the organism in Eukaryota, Metazoa, Chordata, Actinopteri, Anguilliformes, Anguillidae. The transcript is spliced from 3 exons.
UUGCAGACGGGGGCGAUUACUGAUUACAUUCUUCAGCAAAUCAGCAUCAACUGAGCCACACAUUUGGAGUAGGUGUGUAAAUGCCAGGUCACAGUGUGAGCGUGGAAUUAGGACAGAGUGGCAGUGCAGCGAUGCAGACUUUGUCCAGGCCCUCUCAGGCCUGUCUAUAGGGCAGCAGGUGAGCAUUUCUCAUGCAUGGACAACAUACAGGGUCAUAUUGUCGGUGUUGGCGUUGGAGGGCCUUUCCUGACCUGACAGGGGCUCCUGUCCGACGGCAGGAGUUGGCAGAGAGAUAUAAAGCAUCUCUACUACUUCACUCCCCAAGUUUCUUUCCUCUCAAUAUGGAGUGCUCAAUGGCAAUCACAGGCCCGCAUGUAGGAAGCAAGCGGAAUUUACCGUUACACGUUUACACGGCACCGUAAACCAAGACCCAGGACCAUAUCUAAACACACUGUAUACCACCCCCCACCCCCUUCCCUCCACCACCAAACCUUCACACCUCAAAGCUUUCACGUUGCCGUCCACGUUUCUCUGUACAAGCCGGACAGAAAGACUAGAACAAAAACUGUUGUUUUGGAGGUGGGGACGUAGUUGGUACAGAAAAACAUCUGUUAUGAAUAUACCUGUUAUAGAAAGGGGGGAGCGGUGUUCCUUCUGGGUCCCUGCUUAGGCCGGGACAGGAGGUCGGGGGGAAAUUCAGGGGUACCCUGGUUGUGCAGAAUUAAAGGUCUGAAAUAUUCCUCUGUAUCUGACUGCGUUUGCGCAGCGUUGCCAGACAGCUCCUGAUGACGGGGAGAGCUCUAACGGGGAUUACAUGCAGCUGUUUCAGACAUGUCCAGCUUCGUGUUUCAUCGGUGUGAGAAGCGCUUGAUAUACAUACCAAGGAUGAGCAGGCCGCUGACAGGGAGAUGUGAGAGUUAGCCACACCAUGUUCUUAUU